GAGUUUGAUCCUGGCUCAGAACGAACGUUGGCGGCGUGGAUUAGGCAUGCAAGUCGAACGAAUCCCUGAGGGCUUGCUUUCAGGGGAAGUGGCGAAAGGGGCAGUAAGGCGUGGGUAACCUACCCUGGGGUCCGGCAUAGCCGUCCUAACGGACGGGUAAUUCCGGGCGACGUAACGCGAUCGCCUGACCGUGUUACCAAAGGUUUACCGCCCUGGGAGGGGCCCACGUGGUAUUAGCUUGUUGGUGAGGUAACGGCUCACCAAGGCAAAGAUGCCUAGCGGGUGUGAGAGCACGACCCGCGCCACUGGCACUGAGACACUGGCCAGACCCCUACGGGAGGCUGCAGUCGAGGAUCUUCGGCAAUGGGCGCAAGCCUGACCGAGCGACGCCGCGUGUGCGAUGAAGGCCUUCGGGUUGUAAAGCACUGUCGAGGGGGAGGAAAGCCCGCAAGGGUCUGACCUAUCCCUGGAGGAAGCACGGGCUAAGUUCGUGCCAGCAGCCGCGGUAAGACGAACCGUGCGAACGUUGUUCGGAUUCACUGGGCUUAAAGGGCGCGUAGGCGGGUUCUCAAGUCCGGGGUGAAAUCCUCUCGCUUAACGAGAGAACUGCCCCGGAUACUGGGAAUCUCGAGGGAGGUAGGGGCAUGUGGAACUUCCGGUGGAGCGGUGAAAUGCGUAGAUAUCGGAAGGAACGCCGGUGGCGAAAGCGACGUGCUGGACCUCAUCUGACGCUGAGGCGCGAAAGCCAGGGGAGCAAACGGGAUUAGAUACCCCGGUAGUCCUGGCCCUAAACGAUGGGUACUAGAUUGGAGACUGACAUGGGUUUCCAAUCGAAGCUAAAGUGUUAAGUACCCCGCCUGGGGAGUAUGGUCGCAAGGCUGAAACUCAAAGGAAUUGACGGGGGCUCACACAAGCGGUGGAGCAUGUGGUUCAAUUCGAAGCAACGCGCAGAACCUUACCAGCCUUUGACAUGUCCCGUAUGAGUACCAGAGAUGGAACUCUUCAGUUCGGCUGGCGGGAACACAGGUGCUGCAUGGCUGUCGUCAGCUCGUGUCGUGAGAUGUUGGGUUAAGUCCCGCAACGAGCGCAACCCUCGCCCUUAGUUGCCAUCAUUUAGUUGGGCACUCUAAGGGGACUGCCGGUGAUAAGCCGCGAGGAAGGUGGGGAUGACGUCAAGUCCUCAUGGCCCUUACAGGCUGGGCUACACACGUGCUACAAUGGCGGUGACAAUGGGACGCAAUGGGGAGACCCUGCGCAAAUCUCAAAAAGCCGUCUCAGUUCGGAUUGUGCUCUGCAACUCGAGCACAUGAAGUUGGAAUCGCUAGUAAUCGCAGAUCAGCACGCUGCGGUGAAUACGUUCCCGGGCCUUGCACACAC
This 1377-nucleotide ribosomal RNA is filed under the name uncultured bacterium. RNAcentral's name for it is "bacterial SSU rRNA". It matches the Rfam family "Bacterial small subunit ribosomal RNA". The record is from RNAcentral.